Molecule: ribosomal RNA, 474 nt
Filed under: Filifactor alocis
Lineage: Bacteria; Bacillati; Bacillota; Clostridia; Peptostreptococcales; Filifactoraceae
Description: bacterial SSU rRNA
Rfam family: Bacterial small subunit ribosomal RNA
Source: RNAcentral
GAUGACCGCUGCCGGCGUGCUUAACACAUGCAAGUCGAACGUACCGACUUAUUACCAGACCUUUCGGGCGAAGAUGAUAGAAGUUAGUGGCGGACCGGUGCGUAACGCGUGGGUAAUCUGCCUUUGUCAAAGGAAUAACUAUUCGAUCAGAAUAGCUAAAACCGGUAUAACAUAUUAAUAGGGCAUCCUAAUAAUAUCAAACGAUAGUGGACAAAGAUGAGCCCGCGUCUGAUUAGCUAGUUGGUGAGAUAAAAGCCCACCAAGGCAACGAUCAGUAGCCGACCUGAGAGGGUGAACGGCCACAUUGGAACUGAGACACGGUCCAAACUCCUACGGGAGGCAGCAGUGGGGAAUAUUGCACAAUGGGGGGAACCCUGAUGCAGCAACGCCGCGUGAGUGAAGAAGGCAUUCGUGUCGUAAAACUCUGUAGUAGGGGAAGAAAGAAAUGACAGUACCCUAAAAGAAAGCCGGCUA